UACGGAGGAUGCAAGCGUUAUCCGGAUUUAUUGGGUCUAAAGGGUGCGUAGGCGGAUGUUUAAGCGUGAGGUGAAAUGCCACGGCUCAACCGUGGAACUGCCUCGCGAACUGGACAUUUGGAAUGCCCCUGCCGUGGGAGGAAUGUAUGGUGUAGCGGUGAAAUGCAUAGAGAUCACACAGAACACCGAUUGCGAAGGCAUCUCACGAAGGGGUGAUUGACGCUGAGGCACGAAAGCGUGGGGAUCAAAC
RNAcentral lists this ribosomal RNA (250 nucleotides) under uncultured prokaryote. RNAcentral describes it as "partial 16S ribosomal RNA". It matches the Rfam family "Bacterial small subunit ribosomal RNA", at positions 524 to 773 of the family's 1533-position model. The record is from RNAcentral.